GACGAACGCUGGCGGCGUGCUUAACACAUGCAAGUCGAACGGAAAGGCCCUGCUUUUGUGGGGUGCUCGAGUGGCGAACGGGUGAGUAACACGUGAGUAACCUGCCCUUGACUUUGGGAUAACUUCAGGAAACUGGGGCUAAUACCGGAUAGGAGCUCCUGCUGCAUGGUGGGGGUUGGAAAGUUUCGGCGGUUGGGGAUGGACUCGCGGCUUAUCAGCUUGUUGGUGGGGUAGUGGCUUACCAAGGCUUUGACGGGUAGCCGGCCUGAGAGGGUGACCGGCCACAUUGGGACUGAGAUACGGCCCAGACUCCUACAGGAGGCAGCAGUGGGGAAUAUUGCACAAUGGGCGGAAGCCUGAUGCAGCAACGCCGCGUGCGGGAUGACGGCCUUCGGGUUGUAAACCGCUUUCGCCUGUGACGAAGCGUGAGUGACGGUAAUGGGUAAAGAAGCACCGGCUAACUAAGUG
RNAcentral lists this ribosomal RNA (468 nucleotides) under uncultured bacterium. RNAcentral describes it as "partial 16S ribosomal RNA". It matches the Rfam family "Bacterial small subunit ribosomal RNA", at positions 28 to 507 of the family's 1533-position model. The record is from RNAcentral.